AUUGAACGCUGGCGGCAGGCUUAACACAUGCAAGUCGAGCGGGGGAAGGUAGCUUGCUACCGGACCUAGCGGCGGACGGGUGAGUAAUGCUUAGGAAUCUGCCUAUUAGUGGGGGACAACAUCUCGAAAGGGAUGCUAAUACCGCAUACGUCCUACGGGAGAAAGCAGGGGAUCUUCGGACCUUGCGCUAAUAGAUGAGCCUAAGUCGGAUUAGCUAGUUGGUGGGGUAAAGGCCUACCAAGGCGACGAUCUGUAGCGGGUCUGAGAGGAUGAUCCGCCACACUGGGACGGGGAGACGGCCCAGACUCCUACGGGAGGCAGCAGUGGGGAAUAUUGGACAAUGGGGGGAACCCUGAUCCAGCCAUGCCGCGUGUGUGAAGAAGGCCUUAUGGUUGUAAAGCACUUUAAGCGAGGAGGAGGCUACUCUAGUUAAUACCUAGGGAUAGUGGACGUUACUCGCAGAAUAAGCACCGGCUAACUCUGUGCCAGCCGCCGCCGUAA
Molecule: ribosomal RNA, 501 nt
Filed under: uncultured bacterium
Lineage: Bacteria
Description: partial 16S ribosomal RNA
Rfam family: Bacterial small subunit ribosomal RNA
Source: RNAcentral